GAGGGCAAGGGCGUCGCUGCGAGGCGACGAACAGAAACCACAUAGAGGAGGCCUAGGACGCCAGACGAGCCGGCACUGGAUGGCGAAGUCUGAUGGUACAGCGUCUAGGGUAGAUGUGGCGUUUGUGCACCGACAGUUCACGUU
Molecule: non-coding RNA, 144 nt
Filed under: Vitreoscilla filiformis
Lineage: Bacteria; Pseudomonadati; Pseudomonadota; Betaproteobacteria; Neisseriales; Neisseriaceae
Source: RNAcentral